ACUAAACUUUUAUCAGUGAAUUUUAAGUGUACUCUUCAGAAUUUUAUAUUAUAAUAACACACCGCUCGUAGAACAUUCAUUAUGCACGGAUGUACAUUUGAAAAUAUCUAAAGACAUUAAAUACCCUAACUAUAAUUGGUAUUGCUAGCGUUGUAUACCUAUUUCAUGUUGAAUUAUGCUUGUUUUUCAUUACUUUGUGUGCAAUAUUAUACUUUUGCUAUACUUACUUAUGGAGGGAAAUAAUGUUCUCUGCACGACGCUCCUGGGAAAUACACCUGCAGACGUGGAUGGUGAACCUAGGCUGAUGGUGUAACACGUUUUCGUACCGAGCUGGGCAUAAAAAUGAGUUCACGUUGUGGUGUUCUAAAAAUUAGGUCCUCCUCAGAUUGGGAUGGUCUUGGAGGUGAUGGUGCAUCAAUUCCCUGUUCUGUGGCAAACGAUGGACCUGUAUAGUUCAAGUAAUAAAUAUUUUACAUGUCACUUCAAAGGAUAUUUUUACCAAUCGGCAAAUUUUGCGAAGGCACAGCAGUUUUCCUUAAUAAACGCGAAUUCAGGAUUUUAUCCUCUUCCUUAAAAUGGUUGUGGCAAACGAAACACUUUUUAUAAAUACCAUUAUCUCCUAGUUGCUCGAAUCGAGGAUUAUUUGCUGCCAGAACCCACUUACGAAAACGUUCCCCGUUUGUUUUUGGAUUGGGGAAACGGUACAUCGGUAGCUCUCGCUUUCCGCAGCCUUUUACAGAACAAGUAUUUUUGGCUAAUGUGCUCGUCAUCGUGC
Zophobas morio is the source of this 775-nucleotide long non-coding RNA. RefSeq lists it as uncharacterized. Lineage: Eukaryota; Metazoa; Arthropoda; Insecta; Coleoptera; Tenebrionidae. The record is from RefSeq and is a predicted model, not a curated record. The transcript has 2 exons.